Molecule: ribosomal RNA, 406 nt
Filed under: uncultured bacterium
Lineage: Bacteria
Description: partial 16S ribosomal RNA
Rfam family: Bacterial small subunit ribosomal RNA
Source: RNAcentral
AUUGAACGCUGGCGGCAGGCCUAACACAUGCAAGUCGAGCGAGCGGCGGACUGGUGAGUAAUGUCUGGGAAACUGCCUGAUCGAGGGGGAUAACUACUGGAAACGGUAGCUAAUACCGCAAACCAUCAGAUGUGCUCAGAUGGGAUUAGCUAGUAGGUGGGGUAAUGGCUCACCUAGGCGACGAUCCCUAGCUGGUCUGAGAGGAUGACCAGCCACACUGGAACUGAGACACGGUCCAGACUCCUACGGGAGGCAGCAGUGGGGAAUAUUGCACAAUGGGCGCAAGCCUGAUGCAGCCAUGCCGCGUGUGUGAAGAAGGCUUUCGGGUUGUAAAGCACUUUUGGCGAGGAGGCGUUACUCACAGAAGAAGCAACGGCUAACUCCGUGCCAGCAGCCGCGGUAAUAC